Molecule: long non-coding RNA, 1164 nt
Organism: Amphimedon queenslandica
Lineage: Eukaryota; Metazoa; Porifera; Demospongiae; Haplosclerida; Niphatidae
Exons: 4
Source: RefSeq, a predicted model, not a curated record
CUACAUCUACUUGUCAAAAGAAAAAUGAAUAAAUUCAGAUCUCACAACAUUUUUGAAGUUGAUGAAAAUCAUGAGGUUGUUGUAGCUGUGCCUAACUUGCACAUGAAGCCAAUUUGAUGAAGCAUGUUGUACACGUACACCUGACUUUUCUAUAUAUAUAAAUAUGUGUUGUGUGCUACAGUAGUUUGUCUUGCAUUUUACACUUUUUGUCAUGUUUAUUCCAUUGCCAUUACCAUAGAUAUUACUCUAAUAUCUAUGCCAUUACAUGUAUUGGUGGGGACUUUCCCGGGAAAAGCUCACGCCUGGCCCUAGGCUAGCAUCAGAAUCCGUCUACUAUCAGCAGCUCAUAUCCUUUUUGGCGGAAGGCUAGCUAUUUAAUGAGCACUGCAAUGGAGGGUCAUUAUUGCUACAAUGCCGUCUUCAUUAGAACUUAUCUUUACUGGUUUCUUGCCAUGCGGCUUUACCAGGUAGUGAUAACUGUGCCAUAAAUCAUACUGAGAAGUUAUCUGAUUUUGCUCCAACAACAAUACGUCUAGAAGAAUAUUAGUUAUUGUAUUCAAUGCCAGAUCAGCAAGUCUGAGCAAGACCAUAAUUCAAUGCCUAAAAAAUUUUUUUGCUUGCUUGAUCUAACUUUUAAGUUACUUAGAACAAAAGCCUACCAGUAAAAAUAGUUGUCCAUUGUCCCUCUUAAAAUAUACAAUAAUAAUUAAAUUUUACCUUUUAAAUUUAAGACACAAUUGCCAUUGGCCCUAAGACUACAACCUGCUGCAUGGGAGAAAAUAUAUCACCAAUUAAGUUAACAGACUACUGCAUGUAAUGAAGUUCAAACAAGUAAAAAUAAGUACCAGAUACAAAAGGUUUUUAAAUUACGAGGUGAAUAUUGCUGUAUUCGAUUAAUUAUACUGUACUCCCUCCUGAUAUUGACUUUAAUAUUCAACUUGUUGGUGUUAAUCCAGCUGGAGUGGGAGAACCAUUGGAACAAACAGUUUCAUUUGAGAAUUUAACUUACUUUCAACUGGGACCUUGUGAAGUUUUAUUUGAAGAGGACAAGGAGCAAGUAAUCAUUGGAUUUAUUUUCAAUGACACCAGUAGUCCAUCACUGGCUCCUGGUAAUUGUUUUAUAAGACCACAAGAGGUGGAGGUCAGCUCAAUCUGUAUACUUGG